Molecule: ribosomal RNA, 253 nt
Filed under: uncultured bacterium
Lineage: Bacteria
Description: partial 16S ribosomal RNA
Rfam family: Bacterial small subunit ribosomal RNA
Source: RNAcentral
UACGUAGGGUGCGAGCGUUAAUCGGAAUUACUGGGCGUAAAGGGUGCGUAGGCGGUUUGAUAAGUCUGAUGUGAAAUCCCCGGGCUUAACCUGGGAACUGCGUUUGAAACUACAAGGCUAGAGUGUGGCAGAGGGGGGUGGAAUUCCACGUGUAGCAGUGAAAUGCGUAGAGAUGUGGAGGAACACCGAUGGCGAAGGCAGCCCCCUGGGUUAACACUGACGCUCAGGCACGAAAGCGUGGGGAGCAAACAGG